RNAcentral lists this non-coding RNA (24 nucleotides) under Arabidopsis thaliana (thale cress). The record is from RNAcentral. Lineage: Eukaryota; Viridiplantae; Streptophyta; Magnoliopsida; Brassicales; Brassicaceae.
GUGGUUAUGUCCGAAGAUUAAAGA